AGUGAACGCUGGCGGUAGGCCUAACACAUGCAAGUCGAACGGCAGCACAGUAAGAGCUUGCUCUUACGGGUGGCGAGUGGCGGACGGGUGAGGAAUACAUCGGAAUCUACUUUUUCGUGGGGGUUAACGUAGGGAAACUUACGCUAAUACCGCAUACGACCUACGGUUGAAAGCAGGGGAUCUUCGGACCUUGCGCGAUUGAACGAGCCGCUGUCGGAUUAGCUAGUUGGCGGGGUAAAGGCCCACCAAGGCGGCGAUCCGUAGCUGGUCUGAGAGGAUGGUCAGCCACACUGGAACUGAGACACGGUCCAGACUCCUACGGGAGGCAGCAGUGGGGAAUAUUGGACAAUGGGCGCAAGCCUGAUCCAGCCAUACCGCGUGGGUGAAGAAGGCCUUCGGGUUGUAAAGCCCUUUUGUUGGGAAAGAAAAGCAGCAGGUUAAUACCCCGCUGUUCUGACGGUACCCAAAGAAUAAGCACCGGCUAACUUCGUG
This 492-nucleotide ribosomal RNA is filed under the name uncultured bacterium. Its description in RNAcentral is "partial 16S ribosomal RNA". It matches the Rfam family "Bacterial small subunit ribosomal RNA", at positions 29 to 507 of the family's 1533-position model. The record is from RNAcentral.